GUUUGCACUCAUCGGGGAAGGGUGAGAACCUUCGACUAAGGUUCGAUUCGAGCGAAAGCGAGAGAACGUUGCCACAGGCAACGGCCCGAAAGGUGAGGAGCGAAGCGACGAAUAAUCCUUCCCCCACCACCA
This 132-nucleotide small RNA is filed under the name Escherichia coli. Its description in RNAcentral is "RtT sRNA". It matches the Rfam family "RtT RNA". From Rfam's summary of the family: This family represents a bacterial cis-regulatory element known as RtT RNA. The exact function of RtT is unknown although it is thought that it may be involved in changing the cellular response in relation to amino acid starvation. Lineage: Bacteria; Pseudomonadati; Pseudomonadota; Gammaproteobacteria; Enterobacterales; Enterobacteriaceae. The record is from RNAcentral.